GAGCGAGGAGGGAGGGAGGGAGGGAGGUAGAGAGACGGACAGAUAGUAGAGAGAGACAGCACAUGGCGUUGUAACCAUAGCAGCAGUCUGCUCUACUUGACAGUAGAGUAAACAUCCUCCUUUCCCUAGCAACACCGAUUCACUACGGAAUUAAAGGCCAGUGCCUUACCAUCUUACACACACAUGACACACACACACACGCACACACAAAUAAAUGGCUUUGGAAUGACCCGUGUGAUACAUCUACCAGAGGAGAUGAUGAGGAGGGUGCUGAGGUAGAGGAGGGAGCUGAGGUAGAGGACGGAGCUGAGGGAGCUGAGGUAGAGGAGGGAGCUGAGGUAGAGGAGGGAGCUGAGGGAGCUGAGGUAGAGGGGGGAGCUGAGGUAGAGGAGGGAGCUGAGGUAGAGGACGGAGCUGAGGGAGCUGAGGUAGAGGAGGGAGCUGAGGUAGAGGAGGGAGCUGAGGUAGAGGAGGGAGCUGAGGUAGAGGAGGGAGCUGAGGUAGAGGACGGAGCUGAGGGAGCUGAGGUAGAGGACGGAGCUGAGGUAGAGGAGGGAGCUGAGGUAGAGGGGGAGCUGAGGUAGAGGGGGGAGCUGAGGUAGAGGAGGGAGCUGAGGUAGAGGAGGGAGCUGAGGGAGCUGAGGUAGAGGAGGGAGCUGAGGUAGAGGAGGGAGCUGAGGUAGAGGACGGAGCUGAGGGAGCUGAGGUAGAGGAGGGAGCUGAGGUAGAGGAGGGAGCUGAGGUAGAGGAGGGAGCUGAGGUAGAGGAGGGAGCUGAGGUAGAGAAUCGGAGCUGAGGUAGAGGAGGGAGCUGAGGUAGAGGACGGAGCUGAGGGAGCUGAGGUAGAGGAGGGAGCUGAGGUAGAGGAGGGAGCUGAGGUAGAGGAGGGAGCUGAGGGAGCUGAGGUAGAGGGGGGAGCUGAGGUAGAGGAGGAGCUGAGGUAGAGGGUGGAGCUGAGGCAGAGGAGGGAGCUGAGGCAGAGGGGGGAGCUGAGGCAGAGGGGGGGAGCUGAGGCAGAGGGGGGAGCUGAGGCAGAGGGGGGAGCUGAGGUAGAGGAGGGAGCUGAGGUAGAGGGGGGAGCUGAGGUAGAGGAGGGAGCUGAGGCAGAGGGGGGAGCUGAGGCAGAGGAGGGAGCUGAGGUAGAGGGGGGAGCUGAGGUAGAGGAGGGAGCUGAGGUAGAGGAGGGAGCUGAGGUGGAGGAGGGAGCUGAGGCAGAGGGGGGAGCUGAGGCAGAGGAGGGAGCUGAGGUAGAG
This 1253-nucleotide long non-coding RNA is filed under the name Salmo salar (Atlantic salmon). RNAcentral's name for it is "lncRNA (ENSSSAG00000084134.1)". The record is from RNAcentral. Lineage: Eukaryota; Metazoa; Chordata; Actinopteri; Salmoniformes; Salmonidae.